RNAcentral lists this unclassified non-coding RNA (390 nucleotides) under soil metagenome. Its description in RNAcentral is "partial contains 5.8S ribosomal RNA, internal transcribed spacer 2, and large subunit ribosomal RNA". The stretch from base 2 to 122 matches the Rfam family "5.8S ribosomal RNA", at positions 36 to 154 of the family's 154-position model. The record is from RNAcentral.
UAUGAAGAACGUAGCGAAAUGCGAUACUUGGUGUGAAUUGCAGAAUCCCGUGAACCAUCGAGUCUUUGAACGCAAGUUGCGCCCGAAGCCAUUAGGCCGAGGGCACGCCUGCCUGGGCGUCACACGUCGUUGCCCCCCCAUCUACUCCUUCGGGAUUGCGAGGGGCGGAUGAUGGCCUCCCGUGCGCCUCGUCGCGCGGUUGGCAUAAAUGCCAAGUCCUCGGCGACGCACGCCACGACAAUCGGUGGUUGCGAAACCUCGGUUGCCCGUCGUGUGCGGUCGUCGCGCAUCGAGGGCUCGAAAAAAUUGCCGGGCUCCGGCUCGGCUUUCAACGCGACCCCAGGUCAGGCGGGGUUACCCGCUGAAUUUAAGCAUAUCAAUAAGCGGAGA